GACGAACGCUGGCGGCGUGCUUAACACAUGCAAGUCGAGCGGUAAGGCCCGUUUCGGGGGUACACGAGCGGCGAACGGGUGAGUAACACGUGGGUGACCUGCCCUUAGCUCUGGGAUAAGCCUGGGAAACUGGGUCUAAUACCGGAUAUGACUCCAUGACGCAUGUUGUGGGGUGGAAAGCCUUGUGCGGCUAGGGAUGGGCCCGCGGCCUGUCAGCUUGUUGGUGGGUGAUGGCCUACCAAGGCGACGACGGUA
RNAcentral lists this ribosomal RNA (255 nucleotides) under uncultured bacterium. Its description in RNAcentral is "partial 16S ribosomal RNA". It matches the Rfam family "Bacterial small subunit ribosomal RNA", at positions 28 to 285 of the family's 1533-position model. The record is from RNAcentral.